CAAUAGCGUAUAUUAAAGUUGUUGCGGUUAAAAAGCUCGUAGUUGGAUUUCUGUUGAGGAAGUCCGGUCCGCACUUUGUGCGUGAUCUGGUUCUGCCUCGGCAUCCUCGCGGGGAACGCGCUGCGCUUGAUUGCGUGGUGCGGUAUUCGCGACUUUUACUUUUGAGGAAAUUAGAGUGUUCACGGCAGGCUAUCGCCUUGAAUACGUUAGCAUGGAAUAAUAAUAUAGGACCUUGGUUCUAUUUUGUGGUUUCUAGAACUAAAGUAAUGAUUGAUAGGGAUAGUUGGGGGUGCUAGUAUUCAGCGGCCAGAGGUGAAAUUCUUGGAUUCGCUGAAGACUAACUUAUGCGAAAGCAUUCACCAAGGAUGUCUUCUUUAAUCAAGAACGAAAGUUAGGGGGAGUCGAAGAUGAUUAGAUACCG
RNAcentral lists this ribosomal RNA (421 nucleotides) under uncultured eukaryote. RNAcentral describes it as "bacterial SSU rRNA". It matches the Rfam family "Eukaryotic small subunit ribosomal RNA", at positions 592 to 1017 of the family's 1831-position model. The record is from RNAcentral.